Molecule: ribosomal RNA, 468 nt
Filed under: uncultured bacterium
Lineage: Bacteria
Description: partial 16S ribosomal RNA
Rfam family: Bacterial small subunit ribosomal RNA
Source: RNAcentral
GACGAACGCUGGCGGCGUGCUUAACACAUGCAAGUCGAACGGAAAGACCCUGCUUUUGUGGGGUGCUCGAGUGGCGAACGGGUGAGUAACACGUGAGUAACCUGCCCUUGACUUUGGGAUAACUUCAGGAAACUGGGGCUAAUACCGGAUAGGAGCUCCUGCUGCAUGGUGGGGGUUGGAAAGUUUCGGCGGUUGGGGAUGGACUCGCGGCUUAUCAGCUUGUUGGUGGGGUAGUGGCAUACCAAGGCUUUGACGGGUAGCCGGCCUGAGAGGGUGACCGGCCACAUUGCGACUGAGAGACGGACCAGACGCCUACGGGAGGCAGCAGUGGGGAGUAUGACACAAUGGGCGGAAGCCUGAUGCAGCAACGCCGGGUGCGGAAUGACGGCCUUCGGGUUGUAAACCGCUUUCGCCUGUGACGAAGCGUGAGUGACGGUAAUGAGUAAAGAAGCACCGGCUAACUACGUG